UUCUUUCUUAUCGCAACAACUCUUCCCGAUGCCUCCUUCUCCCUUCUCUCCUUCAUCCAACAUCCAGAUCUGAUGGUGAUCAGAUCUAAAAAGAGAAAAGAGAGAAAAAAAAAGAGAAGAAGAAGGGUUCUUCUUCUCUUCAUGGUGAUCUGGUUCAGAUCUCUUCGGAUCUGCGUGAAAGAGUUCGCAUAGUGAUCUCCUUCUUCAAGAUCUAGAAGAAGAGAUCUAGAUCCAAGGAUGAAGAGCGUGAUCUACAAGGUACUAACACACUGAUGAUCUCAGUGCUCCGAUCAGACAUCUUUAUAUGGAUACCAGCAG
RNAcentral lists this long non-coding RNA (318 nucleotides) under Elaeis guineensis (African oil palm). Its description in RNAcentral is "long non-coding RNA (EGUI_LNC001378)". Lineage: Eukaryota; Viridiplantae; Streptophyta; Magnoliopsida; Arecales; Arecaceae. The record is from RNAcentral.